GGGGGGGGGGGCAAGCGUUGUUCGGAAUUACUGGGCGUAAAGGGCGUGUAGGCGGUCCUGCAAGUCUUUCGUGAAAUCCCACAGCUCAACUGUGGAACUGCGAGGGAAACUGCAGGACUUGAGUCCGGGAGAGGAGAGUGGAAUUCCCAGUGUAGCGGUGAAAUACGUAGAUAUUGGGAGGAACACCGGUGGCGAAGGCGGCUCUCUGGACCGGUACUGACGCUGAGGCGCGAAAGCUAGGGGAGCAAACGGGAUUAGAUACCCCGGUAGUCCUAGCCUUAAACGAUGAGCACUUGGUGUGGCGGGUAUCGACCCCUGCCGUGCCGAAGCUAACGCAUUAAGUGCUCCGCCUGGGGAGUACGGUCGCAAAGGCUG
This 375-nucleotide ribosomal RNA is filed under the name uncultured organism. RNAcentral describes it as "partial 16S ribosomal RNA". It matches the Rfam family "Bacterial small subunit ribosomal RNA", at positions 524 to 896 of the family's 1533-position model. The record is from RNAcentral.